UAGAGUUUGAUCAUGGCUCAGGAUGAACGCUAGCGACAGGCUUAACACAUGCAAGUCGAGGGGCAGCGGGGAGGUAGCAAUACUUCCGCCGGCGACCGGCGCACGGGUGAGUAACACGUAUGGAACCUGCCCGUAGCAGGGGGAUAAACGGAAGAAAUUCCGUCUAAUACCGCGUAAUAACUCCGAGAGGCAUCUCAUGGAGUUUAAAGGGUAACACCGGCUACGGAUGGCCAUGCGGCGCAUUAGCUAGUUGGCGGGGUAACGGCCCACCAAGGCGACGAUGCGUAGGGGUUCUGAGAGGAAGGUCCCCCACACUGGUACUGAGACACGGACCAGACUCCUACGGGAGGCAGCAGUGAGGAAUAUUGGUCAAUGGGCGCGAGCCUGAACCAGCCAAGUCGCGUGAGGGAAGACGGUCCUAUGGAUUGUAAACCUCUUUUGUCGGGGAGCAAAAGACGCCACGCGUGGCGUUCCGAGAGUACCCGAAGAAAAAGCAUCGGCUAACUCCGUGCCAGCAGCCGCGGUAAUACGGAGGAUGCGAGCGUUAUCCGGAUUUAUUGGGUUUAAAGGGUGCGCAGGCGGAAGAUCAAGUCAGCGGUAAAAUUGAGAGGCUCAACCUCUUCGAGCCGUUGAAACUGGUUUUCUUGAGUGAGCGAGAAGUAUGCGGAAUGCGUGGUGUAGCGGUGAAAUGCAUAGAUAUCACGCAGAACUCCGAUUGCGAAGGCAGCAUACCGGCGCUCAACUGACGCUCAUGCACGAAAGUGUGGGUAUCGAACAGGAUUAGAUACCCUGGUAGUCCACACAGUAAACGAUGAAUACUAAUUGUUCGGGGAGAAUGAUCCCUGAGUGAUACAGCGAAAGCGUUAAGUAUUCCACCUGGGGAGUACGCCGGCAACGGUGAAACUCAAAGGAAUUGACGGGGGCCCGCACAAGCGGAGGAACAUGUGGUUUAAUUCGAUGAUACGCGAGGAACCUUACCCGGGCUCAAACGACACAGGAAUACUUUUGAAAGGAAGUAGCUCUACGGAGCCUGUGUCGAGGUGCUGCAUGGUUGUCGUCAGCUCGUGCCGUGAGGUGUCGGCUUAAGUGCCAUAACGAGCGCAACCCCCAUCGCCAGUUACCAGCAAGUCAAGUUGGGGACUCUGGCGAGACUGCCGGCGCAAGCUGUGAGGAAGGCGGGGAUGACGUCAAAUCAGCACGGCCCUUACGUCCGGGGCGACACACGUGUUACAAUGGCAGGUACAGAGAGAAGCAAUGCGGCGACGCAAAGCGGAACUUGAAAGCCUGUCUCAGUUCGGAUUGGAGUCUGCAACUCGACUCCAUGAAGCUGGAUUCGCUAGUAAUCGCGCAUCAGCCAUGGCGCGGUGAAUACGUUCCCGGGCCUUGUACACACCGCCCGUCAAGCCAUGGAAGCCGGGAGUGCCUGAAGUGUGCAACCGCAAGGAGCGCCCUAAGGUAAAACUGGUGACUGGGGCUAAGUCGUAACAAGGUAACCGUAA
Molecule: ribosomal RNA, 1499 nt
Filed under: uncultured bacterium
Lineage: Bacteria
Description: bacterial SSU rRNA
Rfam family: Bacterial small subunit ribosomal RNA
Source: RNAcentral